GAUGAACGCUGGCGGCGUGCCUAAUACAUGCAAGUCGAGCGAACGGACGAGAAGCUUGCUUCUCUGAUGUUAGCGGCGGACGGGUGAGUAACACGUGGAUAACCUACCUAUAAGACUGGGAUAACUUCGGGAAACCGGAGCUAAUACCGGAUAAUAUUUUGAACCGCAUGGUUCAAAAGUGAAAGACGGUCUUGCUGUCACUUAUAGAUGGAUCCGCGCUGCAUUAGCUAGUUGGUAAGGUAACGGCUUACCAAGGCAACGAUGCAUAGCCGACCUGAGAGGGUGAUCGGCCACACUGGAACUGAGACACGGUCCAGACUCCUACAGGAGGCAGCAGUAGGGAAUCUUCCGCAAUGGGCGAAAGCCUGACGGAGCAACGCCGCGUGAGUGAUGAAGGUCUUCGGAUCGUAAAACUCUGUUAUUAGGGAAGAACAUAUGUGUAAGUAACUGUGCACAUCUUGACGGUACCUAAUCAGAAAGCCACGGCUAACUACGUG
Molecule: ribosomal RNA, 497 nt
Filed under: uncultured bacterium
Lineage: Bacteria
Description: partial 16S ribosomal RNA
Rfam family: Bacterial small subunit ribosomal RNA
Source: RNAcentral